Molecule: long non-coding RNA, 1841 nt
Organism: Panicum virgatum (switchgrass)
Lineage: Eukaryota; Viridiplantae; Streptophyta; Magnoliopsida; Poales; Poaceae
Exons: 2
Source: RefSeq, a predicted model, not a curated record
CCCCCGCCCCCGUCAUGGCGCCGCUGCUUGGCGCCACCGACGCCGCCGUGCCGUGGCUCCGCCUUCUCCUUCUUGGCUUCGUGACGUGCCCCGCCUCUCCCAGAACGGCGCUCCACCCCCUCCCUCUUCCCGGCUCUGUCAGCCCGACGUUGUCAAGCCAGCACGGGAGCCUCGGCGCCGCCAAACCCUAGCGGCGCUGCCCGGCGCCAUCACGCCCGCGCCACUCGACCCUGCCGCCUCUGGCCAACACCAGCCUCCUAGCCGAACGGCCGAAGUUCACGCCGGAUGCGCCACCCUGCUGCAGAAGAAGGCCAGAGCCGGAGCCAUUCGCCGGCCACGUGCCACCCCAUCAAGAGACGGACCAACAGCCGCACUACCAUGGCAUGGCGGGACGAGGUCAUCCGCCGCGCUGUCUAUGUCUCCAACAUCUAUCACCAGGUCCCGAUCCAUUCCCUCCCAUGUGUCGGCGUUUACUCGCGUUAAUUGUGAAUUUUUUCCCUGUGAAUUUUCUUGGUAAGCCCUGCUCCACACCUAGAUGAAAAUCAAUUCUACAACACGGCUGAUGUAAAUUUGUGAAUUACCAACAACUAAGUACUACUGUUGCUCCAUCUAUGUCAUCUUCAGGUUUAGGAAAGCCAGCCUCAGAACCCCUGCUUCCAUCACAGCGAGUGUUUCGACGACAGCUAUGUGAUUCCAUAUCCAUAUGUUUAUUCCCCUGUGAUAUUGUGUGCUGCUAUGUAUACUACAUCUUAUACUUUUCUGCCUCUAAUGAUAUCAAAUUUCCAAUAUUCAUAAACCGUUAAUUGCCGUCUAACAAAAGGACAACAAUACCCAAGAGAUUUAUGUAUGCUUGCAAUUACAUUCCCUAUUACUAUAACACUGCACCUUUAGAAAGGCACCACAUAGAUCAGAUGUGUGGACAGCAGCAGCCCAGCCUGCUAAUGAUAUAGUUCCCUACAAAUGUUAAAAAUGGAUCAACACAUGCAUGAAAAAAAAAAUCUGCUUCUUGCCCCAGCUGUUACAUUGCCACUGCUUUACCCAAUUCUUCAGUUCUCUAUCUCUGGAUAUGGAACACCUGUUUUUCCUAUGAUUAGUAAAAUUCGUCCAUCUAUGCCUGCCUAAACUAUGUUUGACAUCAUACUGACAAGUUUCUGUUCUUUGCCUGCAACACACUGGGGUAUAUAUCCGCUCGGGCUUAUUUGGAGGCACUACAUGUGAGAACAAUAUGGUGGAUCUGUUGAUUAUGUCAGGUGUAUUCUUCUCUAUUCAUUUUGAAUGGUUGCAUUGUGGAUGUGUUGUUCCGGAUGCAUGUAUUUUAUUGGUGACAUUUGUGUUGUUUCCUCAUGUUGAGAUUCAACAAGCACUUCCUUCUUGGCUAAAUCAUCUUGCUCUCCCUGACAACCUUUUAGGAAGAUCAACAAAGAUCGUGCCCUAUAUGUAUUCCUUUUACAUUUCCUUGCUGCAGUGGAGCUGAUCUACACGGACGGAAGCAUAGAUUUCUGAUGCUUCACCUACUCAGUCAGCAUUUGCCAAUAUGUUUCCUUGCUGCAGCAACACGUACUCAUCAACCAGGUGCUUAAUUAGACGUAAACUGCAUCUCCAUGAAUCAAGCCAAGUAGUACUUUCCUUUUAAUAUUCACAGACAUUGCUCACUGUCCUUGCUCCUUUGUUAAGAGAUAUGGACCUUUGGUGUAUAGGUUCCUGCUAAUAUGGAGAGGAAAGAUCCAAAUGUUUCUUCAUGUACCUUUGUUUGUUUGUUUUUUGAAAAUUUUCAUGUACCUUUGUUGCUUGGAAUUUUUUGCGACACAUAUCCAGUUUCUUAAAUUUUAAAACAUUUCAUA